Molecule: long non-coding RNA, 379 nt
Filed under: Nicotiana tabacum (common tobacco)
Lineage: Eukaryota; Viridiplantae; Streptophyta; Magnoliopsida; Solanales; Solanaceae
Description: long non-coding RNA (NTAB_LNC000125)
Source: RNAcentral
CUAACACAAAUUUUACAGGAAUGUAUAAACAGCUAGUGACCAAAGUUCUCCUGUCCACAUUCCAACCAACAAAUAUUACAACCAACAGUCUGUAUAAAUUUCCACAUUGUUUUCCUCACCAUCCAUUUGCAAACCCCCCUAGUUGUUUCCUCCACAUAUAUAGCAGAAAACAAUCCAAACCAAAAUGUUCCAUAAAAAAAUCCCAACAAAUAUUAUAUAUAAAUAUUCCACACUCAAAAUAAAAUUUUAAUAUCAACAUGAGAAAAUGAAUUUAAAAUAAAUAGCUAUGAAAGAACAAAAGAACCCUCUUCAUUUCCCACUGCAGUUUGUCUCAAUCAGAGGGCUUGGUCUUGGACCUGUAGACAAGCUUCUUCCUCUU